Molecule: unclassified non-coding RNA, 68 nt
Filed under: Orthohepacivirus hominis
Lineage: Riboviria; Orthornavirae; Kitrinoviricota; Flasuviricetes; Amarillovirales; Hepaciviridae
Description: JIIIabc RNA (68-MER) from Hepacivirus hominis (PDB 6U8K, chain B)
Source: RNAcentral
GGGUCUCGCGGAACCGGUGAGUACACCGGAAUCCAGGAAACUGGAUUUGGGCGUGCCCCCGCGAGACC